Crocodylus porosus (Australian saltwater crocodile) is the source of this 828-nucleotide long non-coding RNA. NCBI's taxonomy places the organism in Eukaryota, Metazoa, Chordata, Crocodylia, Crocodylidae. The record is from Ensembl.
CAGCGCUCUGCUCCCACCGGCCACUGUCCCCAACGCACGGAAGCGCGCAGGCAUUUCCCCGACCCCUCUCCUCCCCCAACGCCUACACCUCUGGGCCACAAAACCUGCCUCUGCAACAGCGGGCAGGAUCCGCAAAUGGUUUUACUCGCUGACCCCCCGCAACCGUUCAGUAAACGACCAGUGAACAUUCCCCCUCCCCCCCGACUCUCGACCCGCGUCUUCAAAGCGCGAAGCCGCACACCCGCUGUGGUCUCCGCGCCCGGAACCCUCUCGCCAAGUGCCUCACAACGCCUCGCAGGCGCUUGGCCCUCCCGCUCCCAGGGAGAUGCGAAGCCCGCGAGCUCCAGCGCCUUCCCCAAGGAGUACCAGGGCUCUGCCUCCCGACCCCGGGCAAGCGACAGCCGGACCCCGCUGCUUCCCAGCUCCCCAGCAGGCGCGACCAGCUGACCGGAUUCCUGGCCGGCCGCUCCAGCCCCGCCUCCUCCCUCGGCCUGGGCCCUCCUUUCCUGCUCGUGCUCGUCCUUGCGUGCCCUGGCGGGCUGCGUCCCGGCCUGCCGCUGCCCGAGCCUGCGGGCGCCCGGGGCUGCGCGCACACGCGGAGCGGCGUCUCCCUCGGGGCGCCUGGCACGAGCCGCGGGAGGAGGAGGCGGCAGGAAUAUUUUUGAAAUUCUAAUCCUCAUAUAUAGAGUCAAGAUUAUAUUAUCCAUCAUUUAAGCUAAUCCAAAAGUAAAUGAGGAACUUAGAAACUAAGAUUGCCAACUCCAAAUCAACACAGUUACACAAAAUUGAAAAAGAAGCAGCUCACAGCUUCAUUUGAAGACUUUUGUA